UACAGAGAGUGCAAACGUUGUUCGGAAUUACUGGGCUUGAAGCGCACGUAGGCGGCGUUGUAAGUGUCGGGUGAAAUCCCACGGCUCACCCGUGGAACUGCCCGGCAUACUGCGAUGCUAGAGUGUGGUAGGGGAGAGCGGAACUCCUGGUGGAGCGGUGAAAUGCGUAGAUAUCAGGAGGAAUACCGAUGGCGAAGGCAGGUCCCUGGGUCGAUACUGACGCUCAUGCACGAAAGCGUGGGGAGCAAACAGG
RNAcentral lists this ribosomal RNA (253 nucleotides) under uncultured bacterium. Its description in RNAcentral is "partial 16S ribosomal RNA". It matches the Rfam family "Bacterial small subunit ribosomal RNA", at positions 524 to 776 of the family's 1533-position model. The record is from RNAcentral.